RNAcentral lists this ribosomal RNA (305 nucleotides) under Tisamenus sp. 3 SB-2020. RNAcentral describes it as "partial 12S ribosomal RNA". Lineage: Eukaryota; Metazoa; Arthropoda; Insecta; Phasmatodea; Heteropterygidae. The record is from RNAcentral.
UGUUUUAAUUCUAUUCAGAGGAACUUGUCCCGUUAUCGAUAGUCCUCGUUUUAUCUUUCUUGAUUUUGUUUUGUUCAGUAUGUAUACCGCCGUUAUAGGCUUAUUUUUUUAGAAUUUAAUUUGCUAGUAUUUUUAUUAAGAUUUAUUUCAGGUCAAGGUGCAGCCUAUAUUCAAGUGGAGGUGAGUUACAAUAUUUUUGAAUAAAUGGAUUAUUUUUUUAAAUUUUUUAUGAAGGUGGAUUUGAUAGUAAUUUUAUUUACAAUGUUAUUUUGAUUUUGGCCCUAAAACAAGUACACAUCGCCCGU